UAUAACUUAGUUUAAAGGAACCUUAAAUUUUGAUUUUAAAAGAGAUAGUGUAAGUCUAUUAGUUGUAA
This 68-nucleotide transfer RNA is filed under the name Homidia koreana. RNAcentral describes it as "tRNA-Gln". Lineage: Eukaryota; Metazoa; Arthropoda; Collembola; Entomobryomorpha; Entomobryidae. The record is from RNAcentral.